Molecule: ribosomal RNA, 381 nt
Filed under: uncultured eukaryote
Lineage: Eukaryota
Description: partial 18S ribosomal RNA
Rfam family: Eukaryotic small subunit ribosomal RNA
Source: RNAcentral
CAAUAGCGUAUAUUAAAGCUGUUGCGGUUAAAAAGCUCGUAGUUGGAUUUCUGUCAAGGACAACUGGUCCGCCCUCCGGGUGAGCACAUAGUUUGGUCUUGGCAUCUUGCUGGAAACUGCUGCUGCGCUUGGUUGUGUGGUGCAGCUUUCAGCACUUUCACUUUGAGGAAAUUGGAGUGUUUCAAGCAGGCACAUGCCUUUGGACACAGUAGCAUGGAAUAAUUAGAUUGGGCUUUUGCUCCAACUUGUUGGUUCCUGGAGCUGAGGUGAGAAUCAAUGGGGAUUGUUGGGGGCAUCCGAAUUUAGCCGUCAGAGGUGAAAUUCUUGGAUCUGCUAAAGACGGACAACUGCGAAAGCGUUUGCCCAGGAUGUUUUCAUUGA